AGCUGCAAUCGGUGACGGCAAGCAAAUCUCUUAAAGCCAGUCUCAGUUCGGAUUGUAGGCUGCAACUCGCCUACAUGAAGUCGGAAUCGCUAGUAAUCGCGGAUCAGCACGCCGCGGUGAAUACGUUCCCGGGCCUUGUACACACCGCCCGUCACACCACGAGAGUUUGUAACACCCGAAGUCGGUGAGGUAACCUAUUAGGAGCCAGCCGCCUAAGGUGGGAUAGAUGAUUGGGGUGAAGUCGUAACAAGGUAUC
RNAcentral lists this ribosomal RNA (256 nucleotides) under uncultured bacterium. RNAcentral's name for it is "partial 16S ribosomal RNA". It matches the Rfam family "Bacterial small subunit ribosomal RNA", at positions 1245 to 1500 of the family's 1533-position model. The record is from RNAcentral.